ACUCCUGCGGGAGGCAGCAGUGGGGAAUAUUGGACAAUGGGCGCAAGCCUGAUCCAGCCAUGCCGCGUGAGUGAUGAAGGCCCUAGGGUUGUAAAGCUCUUUCACCGGUGAAGAUAAUGACGGUAACCGGAGAAGAAGCCCCGGCUAACUUCGUGCCAGCAGCCGCGGUAAUACGAAGGGGGCUAGCGUUGUUCGGAUUUACUGGGCGUAAAGCGCACGUAGGCGGACUAUUAAGUCAGGGGUGAAAUCCCGGGGCUCAACCCCGGAACUGCCUUUGAUACUGGUAGUCUUGAGUUCGAGAGAGGUGAGUGGAAUUCCGAGUGUAGAGGUGAAAUUCGUAGAUAGUCGGAGGAACACCAGUGGCGAAGGCGGCUCACUGGCUCGAUACUGACGCUGAGGUGCGAAAGCGUGGGGGGCAAAUAGGAUUAGAUCCCCGUGUAGUCC
Molecule: ribosomal RNA, 444 nt
Filed under: uncultured organism
Description: partial 16S ribosomal RNA
Rfam family: Bacterial small subunit ribosomal RNA
Source: RNAcentral